This 487-nucleotide ribosomal RNA is filed under the name Cryptosporidium sp. apodemus genotype II. RNAcentral describes it as "SSU rRNA". It matches the Rfam family "Eukaryotic small subunit ribosomal RNA", at positions 514 to 1024 of the family's 1831-position model. Lineage: Eukaryota; Apicomplexa; Conoidasida; Eucoccidiorida; Cryptosporidiidae. The record is from RNAcentral.
AUGAGUUAAGUAUAAACCCCUUUACAAGUAUCAAUUGGAGGGCAAGUCUGGUGCCAGCAGCCGCGGUAAUUCCAGCUCCAAUAGCGUAUAUUAAAGUUGUUGCAGUUAAAAAGCUCGUAGUUGGAUUUCUGUUAAUAAUUUAUAUAUAAUAUUUGAAUGAUAUUUAUAUAAUAUUAACAUAAUUCAUAUUACUAAAUUAUGAAUUUGGUAUAUGAAAUUUUACUUUGAGAAAAUUAGAGUGCUUAAAGCAGGCAUUAGCCUUGAAUACUCCAGCAUGGAAUAAUAUAAAAGAUUUUUAUCUUUUUUAUUGGUUCUAAGAUAAAAAUAAUGAUUAAUAGGGACAGUUGGGGGCAUUUGUAUUUAACAGUCAGAGGUGAAAUUCUUAGAUUUGUUAAAGACAAACUAGUGCGAAAGCAUUUGCCAAGGAUGUUUUCAUUAAUCAAGAACGAAAGUUAGGGGAUCGAAGACGAUCAGAUACCGUCGUAGU